AAGUCGUAACAAGGUUUCCGUAGGUGAACCUGCGGAAGGAUCAUUAACACUUUUAUGUGCUCCUACUAAACUAAACUGGUGACUUUUAAACCCUUGCUCGUGGGGUUAUAUAUAGUUGAACUUUAUAUAACUUUCGCGAGGAUAAAUAAUUUUUAUUUUUAUUAACCUUUUUUUUUAUGAACUAACCUCAUUUGCUGGUCUCCAUGCCAGUAAAUAUUUUAAAUGCGAACAACUCUAAGCAGUGGAUAUCUUGGUUCUC
Molecule: unclassified non-coding RNA, 259 nt
Filed under: fungal sp.
Lineage: Eukaryota; Fungi
Description: partial internal transcribed spacer region
Rfam family: Eukaryotic small subunit ribosomal RNA (bases 1-46)
Source: RNAcentral